UACGGGGGGGGCAAGCGUUGUUCGGAAUUACUGGGCGUAAAGGGUCCGUAGGUGGCCAACUAAGUCAGACGUGAAAUCCCUCAGCUUAACUGGGGAACUGCGUCUGAGACUGAUUGGCUUGAGGACAGGAGAGGAGCGCGGAAUUCCAGGUGUAGCGGUGAAAUGCGUAGAUAUCUGGAGGAACACCGAUGGCGAAGGCGGCGUUCUGGACUGUUUCUGACGCUGAAGGACGAAAGCGAGGGGAGCAAACGGG
This 253-nucleotide ribosomal RNA is filed under the name uncultured bacterium. RNAcentral's name for it is "partial 16S ribosomal RNA". It matches the Rfam family "Bacterial small subunit ribosomal RNA", at positions 524 to 776 of the family's 1533-position model. The record is from RNAcentral.